UCACGAAAUUGUAUUAACUGG
Molecule: non-coding RNA, 21 nt
Filed under: Caenorhabditis elegans
Lineage: Eukaryota; Metazoa; Nematoda; Chromadorea; Rhabditida; Rhabditidae
Source: RNAcentral